GACGAACGCUGGCGGCGUGGAUUAGGCAUGCAAGUCGGACGGUAGAGCUUUAUCGUAAGAUAGAGUUUGAGAGUGGCGAACGGGUGAGUAACACGUAGGAAUCUACCCUUCAGAGGAGGACAACCUCAGGAAACUGAGGCUAAACCUUCAUACGUUCACUGGUAGGGAUACUGGUGAAGAAAGAGUUACCGUUGAGGUGGCUGCUGAAGGAUGAGCCUGCGGCCCAUCAGGUAGUUGGUGAGGUAACGGCUCACCAAGCCGAAGACGGGUAACCGGUCUGAGAGGAUGUCCGGUCACACUGGGACUGAGACACGGCCCAGACUCCUACGGGAGGCAGCAGCAGGGAAUCUUGGGCAAUGGGCGAAAGCCUGACCCAGCGACGCCGCGUGGAGGAAGAAGUCCUUCGGGGCGUAAACUACCUGGACUGGGGACGAGGAAGGACGGUACCCACGUAGAAAGGGACGGCUAACUACGUAG
This 477-nucleotide ribosomal RNA is filed under the name uncultured bacterium. RNAcentral's name for it is "bacterial SSU rRNA". It matches the Rfam family "Bacterial small subunit ribosomal RNA", at positions 28 to 508 of the family's 1533-position model. The record is from RNAcentral.